RNAcentral lists this long non-coding RNA (377 nucleotides) under Androctonus crassicauda. The record is from RNAcentral. Lineage: Eukaryota; Metazoa; Arthropoda; Arachnida; Scorpiones; Buthidae.
CAUAGGAAAAGCUAUAAUAAAUAUGGCAUUUUCACUUUUACAUAAAAUCGCAGUCAUUUUAUACUGGAAGUUAUCUAUUUUCUAUAGACACGUAAACCGUUCUUUCUGUAACGGUGUGUGUGUGUGUGCUACGUUAUAUGCAACAGAUUUCUACCUGUUCUGGGUCGAUGACUAUCACGUGAUAUUGUCAGCUAGCGUGACGUCAGACAUCACGCACUUUCCGUUAACUACCUUCGAAUACUCAUACUUCUCAUGAUUAUUCAAUAAUAAUAUCUCAUCUCUUCGACGUAUGCUUUUACGACACAGUUUUUUGAAAUAACUCGCCAAAAACGUUCGAUAACUUACAAAAUACAAGACAUGAAAUGAUCUAGUUUGAG